RNAcentral lists this long non-coding RNA (598 nucleotides) under Marmota monax (woodchuck). Lineage: Eukaryota; Metazoa; Chordata; Mammalia; Rodentia; Sciuridae. The record is from RNAcentral.
CUGAGGUCUGCGCGGUAGUCACUGGUCGCGGGGACUAAGGGCUAAGGGUUGCUAAGUGGGCAGGGUACGCGGGGCCGGGUCUGCAGCGCUGCUGAGGGUCUGCGAGAGUGUUGGAGGAGAUGAGCGCGCGACUCGCGCGCCAGGCGGGGUUGCACCGCCCAGGCCAGACGGGGUUAGGGGCAGGGAGAGCGACAGCCCUGGAGCCUCGGGGAUUGGGAAGAAGGAGACGCCCAAAGCGGCUUUCGGCGGAGCCACAGCUCGGGUCUUCCAGCGCCCGGCCGGUGGACAGAGCGGAAGGAGACGCGGAUCCGCCUCGGAGCCAGGCGCUUCUAGGAGGUACCCGGAGAGGGGUGCCAGGUGGGGGUCGAUACCCACGCACACCGGGUCUGGCUCGGUCGACCCGCCUUCCCAGCUGGGAUCUCGUGUGUAGACCCGCGCACCGCCCGAUGCCGUCUGGGGCGGCCUGUGCCAAUCACCUCGCUCAGUUCUCAUCGCUCGGCCGCCGCUUUCGCCUGGCUGCGGGACUCACCGAGCGCAAAACCCCAAGAUCUCGAGACACGCACGCGGCGGGGCGCCGCUGGGGCCCCCCCGAUCCGGG